This 253-nucleotide ribosomal RNA is filed under the name uncultured bacterium. RNAcentral's name for it is "partial 16S ribosomal RNA". It matches the Rfam family "Bacterial small subunit ribosomal RNA", at positions 524 to 776 of the family's 1533-position model. The record is from RNAcentral.
UACGAAGGGGGCUAGCGUUGCUCGGAAUCACUGGGCGUAAAGCGCACGUAGGCGGCUUUCUAAGUCAGGGGUGAAAUCCUGGAGCUCAACUCCAGAACUGCCUUUGAUACUGAGGAUCUUGAGUUCGGGAGAGGUGAGUGGAACUGCGAGUGUAGAGGUGAAAUUCGUAGAUAUUCGCAAGAACACCAGUGGCGAAGGCGGCUCACUGGCCCGAUACUGACGCUGAGGCACGAAAGCGUGGGGAGCAAACAGG